UAUCUCUGUAGAGUCUGCAUAUCAAUAAGCGGAGGAAAAGAAACUAACAUAGGAUUCCCUCAGUAACGGCGAGUGAAGCGGGAAGAGCUCAAAUUUGAAAUCUUCAAGGUUUGACCUUGACGAAUUGUAGUUUAAAGAAGUGUUUUCGGUUAGAGGUAGUGGUAAAAGUUCUUUGGAAUAGGACAUCAUAGAGGGUGAGAAUCCCGUAUUUGACCAUUCUUUCUAGCUUUGUGAUACACCUUCGAAGAGUCGGAUUGUUUGGAAUGCAGUCCAAAAUGGGUGGUAAAUUUCAUCUAAAGCUAAAUAUUGGCGAGAGACCGAUAGCGAACAAGUACCGUGAGGGAAAGAUGAAAAGAACUUUGAAAAGAGAGUUAAACAGUACGUGAAAUUGUCAAAAGGGAAGCGUUUGACACCAGUGUUGUUUUUCCGAAAAUCAAUUAAAAAUGGAUUCAUGCUAAGUUAUAUUGACCUUAUCAGCUUGCAAUUUAGUUUUGGGUUUCUUUUUGAUGCACUUUUCGGUUAACAAGUCAACAUCAAUUUCCUUUGCUGUAGAAAGGCAGGAGGAAGGUGGCUUCAAUUUCGGUUGAAGUGCUUUAUAGCCUUCUGUCCUCUGCAGGUCGGAGAGAUUGAGGUCUGCAGCGUAGAUCCUUCGGGGCUAGAUACGAUUCGUGCUAAGUUAUAGCCUUUGUAUAGACAACAUUGUUGACUAUGAUUAGGUCAUUGUAGAUUUACUCGCAGAGUAGCUAUUUUACCUACGCUUAGGAUGUUGAUCUACAGAGCGAGAGU
RNAcentral lists this ribosomal RNA (786 nucleotides) under uncultured Neocallimastigales. Its description in RNAcentral is "partial large subunit ribosomal RNA". It matches the Rfam family "Eukaryotic large subunit ribosomal RNA", at positions 24 to 640 of the family's 3401-position model. Lineage: Eukaryota; Fungi; Neocallimastigomycota; Neocallimastigomycetes; Neocallimastigales. The record is from RNAcentral.